This 73-nucleotide transfer RNA is filed under the name Ovis aries (sheep). It matches the Rfam family "tRNA". Rfam says of the family: Transfer RNA (tRNA) molecules are approximately 80 nucleotides in length. Their secondary structure includes four short double-helical elements and three loops (D, anti-codon, and T loops). Lineage: Eukaryota; Metazoa; Chordata; Mammalia; Artiodactyla; Bovidae. The record is from Rfam by way of RNAcentral.
UUCCAGAUGGCUCAGAUAGUACAGAAUCAGCCUGCAAUGCUGAAGACCCAGGUUCAAUCCCUGGGUCAGGACA